GGGGAAAAGGGAAAGAAAGGCAAAAAAGGGCCUAAAGGGGAGAAAGGAGAACAGGGUGCUCCUGGAUUAGAUGCACCUUGCCCAUUGGGUCCCGACGGACUACCCAUGCCUGGCUGUUGGCAAAAGUGAUGACUCUAACCUUACAAGCAUGAAGUUGUGUAUAUAGUGCUCCACUUUUUGUAUUUAUAGUUGAAAACUGAAAAUUUGAUUUUACAAGACUGAGAUAUGUUUACAUGUAGCUGCUUCUACUUGUUUGCAGUAAUCCUUGUGUACAUCUUUUUUGCCACUUAAGUCUGCAGUUAGAUGACAUGUAACUGCAGGACAAACCUGCAAAGACUCUCUCUUGAGAGAGAGGGAGAGAGACUGAUAACAGAAACCUGAUUAUUUCUGUAAAUUCUUAUAUUUUGGCUUGUGGACCUGCAUGGACAAUGAGUGUCAUGAACUAGUUUACAAGAAAUUGUGACCAAAUAAGAGCUGAUCAAAUGUACUGUACCAGCUGCCACUGGAGUUUACUGACUUGGCUUCCAUGUCCAUCCUAAAUGCUUCACUGAUUCAUGCCACCAUAUCUGCUCGUACAAACUAAAAAGCAUGAGUUGUGUGCCAGCCUGCUUGUUGUGUGUGUGUCACAUGCUAAAUGGCUGCUCACUGUGACCAUAGAUUCAAAGUUCUGAAUUGUUUCCUUUUGUCACCUCAAGGGAGUCACACCAUGGCUUAUUGCUAAAAAGAGAUAAAGCAGAGGAGAGUAGAAAGAGGCCUUGAAUUUUUGGGGAACACAGUUCCAGCUGCAGGUGGAUGGCUUCCAGCUUUGCGGGUCACCCUUUGCUCUAAGAGGGUCCCACCUGUUAAUCAGCGUUGGUUUGCCUUGCACUGCUCACAGUCAUGAAGACAUUCGCGAUAGGACCUGUCGACUGCUUAAUCAAGAAGGAAAGAAGUUUGAAGAAGCCAGACUUCGCUGUGGGCUGCUUGAAAAGGUUACAAAGACGCUGCGGGGAUCAUUGGACAGCAGACACUGCUGGAGACCAGAAGCUUCUCAACCUUACUCGAGGACUGACACGGUACGUGCUCUGCAUACUGCAUUUUGGGACUGCUGCAAGAUGAAGCAUUUCUGAGACGGGGUGAAUUGGAACAUUCUCCUCUGGCGAAUAAUGGAACUGACCAGAUACGUAUGUACCGUAGUGUGGUUUUUCAGGUGAUUCAAUUUAAGUUACACAGAAUUUGUUGACCUUCGCUGCAGGAUUUUGGAAGCUGUGGAUAAUUUUAUUUCAUUUUUCUUGGAACAGUUUCCAUAAAAGAUACGUUUCAAUAAUCUAGUCAACAUUUGUGAUGAUGGCUUUGAAGAAAGUACUUCAAGUCAUAUCUCGUUUCAGUAUUAAGUUUUUCUUUUUACAGUUUUUGAAGCCUUUUAAAAAAAGGAAGAAUUUAGUUUUAGGUUUCACUGGCUGAUCUUUUCAUCUUGUUCUUUUUCUGCUGUUGCAAUGAUUUUGGUGGACAUUAUUACCCAGAAAACAUUAGAGACAUGUCAGUGUGAUUACUGUUGCACUCUUGUCAUCACAGUACACUGUAAAAGGUGUAAUUAUUUCUCAAUUUCUAAUCAGAUGACUAGGACUAAAGAGAAACAUUGGCUACAUUUUGCUUCUCCGUUUUUUUAAUAACAAGAAGUACUUAAAUGGUGCACGUUUGUAGUUUUUGCCACAAGGUAUUUUGUAUGGUUUUGAGUCUUCAUAUGGUGCACUGUACAUAGUUUGAGAGACUAGUUUAUGAGAGAUGGUGCCAUAUUUGGCAGAUGGAAAUUCUUAUUUUUAUCACCUCAAUUCCUAGUGUAUAGCAGAAUAAUAAUGAUUUUAGUUAUUUUGGGGGAGUUCUUUCACGUGUAGACCAAAACUAGAGUUGAGGAAGGUAGCUUGCCUCCAUCCAUAUGUGGGCACCUAGCCCAUCUUGGAAUGCACAUUUUUUCCUUGCUAGGUGAUUUCUAAGUUGUGUGUAGAUGGGGACUUGCUGUAGUUGCACUUUUCAGGAUUGCUUUAGAAUGCUUUAGAAUCUCAGAUCAGUCGAAAUGCCACUAUAGUGCUCUUUCUCACUUUGCUAAAUGUUUAUUGUCAUUGUAGAAUAUCAGAGACAAAAACAACUUUUCCUGGAGGAAAAUCUUCACAAUUUUUUUUUUUAAUCUAAAAGCUACUUUAGAAGCCUCCAUCUAAU
Rhea pennata is the source of this 2196-nucleotide long non-coding RNA. RefSeq lists it as uncharacterized. NCBI's taxonomy places the organism in Eukaryota, Metazoa, Chordata, Aves, Rheiformes, Rheidae. The transcript has 3 exons. The record is from RefSeq and is a predicted model, not a curated record.